Molecule: long non-coding RNA, 470 nt
Organism: Homo sapiens (human)
Lineage: Eukaryota; Metazoa; Chordata; Mammalia; Primates; Hominidae
Exons: 3
Source: RefSeq, a predicted model, not a curated record
AGUUGAGUUUUCUGGGUACACAGCAGCCCUUGGCUUUCCAUCCCAUGUGCAGCCUCUGGCCCAGCACUUAGUCCACUCUCAGUCAUAGAGCUUAUCACACAGACUUGCUCCAGUGCCCACUUGUCCAACUGCCCCAAACUCCUGGAAACCAGAAAGAACACAGAUGUAUCUCAACUGAGUGCCUACCAUAUUUCUACAGGAGGAACUGUCUUCGCAUAAAAGCCCCUCUGCAGCUCCUUAAGCUGCUCCCCAUCGCUCGAAUUACCACCUGAGCUCUGCUUCCUGUCUGAUCAGCAGCAGCAUUUGAUUCUCAUAGGAGUGCGAACUCUUGUGAACUGCGCAUAUCCUACUGAUGCUUCAAUUGCCUCAUCUUUGGUCAACAAGAGCCUCUUCAAGACAUUGGCUUCUGAGCCCUUUUGACAUGACACUAUAGCUUUAUUGCUUUCUGGAAUGAAAAAGUCUUCUUGGUU